This 1371-nucleotide ribosomal RNA is filed under the name uncultured Actinomycetes bacterium. Its description in RNAcentral is "uncultured actinobacterium 16S ribosomal RNA". It matches the Rfam family "Bacterial small subunit ribosomal RNA", at positions 28 to 1382 of the family's 1533-position model. Lineage: Bacteria; Bacillati; Actinomycetota; Actinomycetes. The record is from RNAcentral.
GAUGAACGCUGGUGGCGUGCUUAACACAUGCAAGUCGUACGGCAAUUUGGCUUUUUGGUUUUGUUGUAGUGGCGAACGGGUGAGUAAUACGUGGGUGAUCUGCCCCGGACUUCGGGAUAAGCUUGGGAAACUGGGUCUAAUACCGGAUAUUUUACUGCGGGCUGCAUGGUUCGUGGUGGAAAGGCUUUUUGCUGGUUUGGGAUGUGCUCGCGGCCUAUCAGUUUGUUGGUGGGGUAAUGGCCUACCAAGGCGUUGACGGGUAGCCGGCCUGAGAGGGUGAUCGGUCACACUGGGACUGAGAUACGGCCCAGACUCCUGUGGGAGGCAGCAGUGGGGAAUAUUGCACAAUGGGCGGAAGCUUGAUGCAGUGACGUCGCGUGAGGGAUGGAGGCCUUCGGGUUGUAAACCUCUUUCGGCAAGGACGAAGUGACAUGUUUUUGUGUGUUUUGACGGUACUUGUGGAAGAAGCACCGGCUAACUACGUGCCAGCAGCCGCGGUAAUACGUAGGGUGCGAGCGUUGUCCGGAUUUACUGGGCGUAAAGGGCUUGUAGGUGGCUUGUCGCGUUGUUCGUGGAAUCUGGGGGCUUAACUCCUAGUGUGCGGGCGAUACGGGUAGGCUUGAGUGCUGUAGGGGAGAUUGGAAUUCCUGGUGUAGCGGUGGAAUGCGCAGAUAUCAGGAAGAACACCGGUGGCGAAGGCUGGUCUCUGGGCAGUUACUGACGCUGAGGAGCGAAAGCGUGGGGAGCGAACAGGAUUAGAUACCCUGGUAGUCCAUGCUGUAAACGGUGGGCGCUGGGUGUGAGUUUGGCUGGUUUUUUGCUGGUUGGGUUUGUGCCGUAGCUAACGCGUUAAGCGCCCCGCCUGGGGAGUACGGCCGCAAGGUUAAAACUCAAAGGAAUUGACGGGGGCCCGCACAAGCGGCGGAGCAUGUGGAUUAAUUCGAUGCAACGCGAAGAACCUUACCUGGGUUUGACAUGCACAAGUUUGCUGCAGAGAUGUGGUUUCUUUUUUGGUUUGUGUGCAGGUGGUGCAUGGCUGUCGUCAGCUCGUGUCGUGAGAUGUUGGGUUAAGUCCCGCAACGAGCGUAACCCUUGUCUCGUGUUGCCAGCGGUUAGAGCCGGGGACUCGCGAGAGACUGCCGGGGUUAACUCGGAGGAAGGUGGGGAUGACGUCAAGUCAUCAUGCCCCUUAUGUCCAGGGCUUCACACAUGCUACAAUGGCUGGUACAGAGGGUUGCGAUAUCGUGAGGUGGAGCGGAUCUCUUAAAGCUGGUCUUAGUUCGGAUCGGGGUCUGCAACUCGACCUCGUGAAGUUGGAGUCGCUAGUAAUCGCAGAUCAGCAUUGCUGCGGUGAAUACGUUCCCGGGCCUU